GUUUAAUGAUAUUUUUUAUGUUAUUACCCAACAGGAUACGUUUAGGAUACAGAGGACUUUGGGAGGUGCCUCAAGCUCCAUGAUCCUGGGGGAUUAGGACUACGGUGUGGAAGCUGCCUGAGAGGAAAGGUUAUCAGCUGGUUUGUCUGCGCACAGGGACCUCUAGAUACUGGAGCACUGGCCACAUGACCAAACGAUGAGUCUGGGGAGCGGUCCUCAGCGAGGGAGAAUCUGGAAGACACCAAGGCUACAAUGGAGUAAAGGAAUGCAAUCUGAUCUGUUGCUCCCCGGAUCUCUCCUUGACCUGUACUGUAAGGUCAUCAACGAGGGACACUGUUUUAGCCAUCUUCCAAGUGAAUGUAGUGUGACUUUGUUGUUGUUGUUGUUGUGUGUUGUUUUUUUUUUAAAACAAACUUCCAGUGUCUAACUUUUUAAUUCUUGCCAUAACACCAGCUGGCUCGUAAUUAACCGCUGGCAUCAUCAAUAUCUCGUCAAAGUUAAUGAGUUUUUAACAUAAUUUUUAACUGCUCUGAA
RNAcentral lists this long non-coding RNA (534 nucleotides) under Felis catus (domestic cat). RNAcentral describes it as "lncRNA (ENSFCAG00000042505.2)". The record is from RNAcentral. Lineage: Eukaryota; Metazoa; Chordata; Mammalia; Carnivora; Felidae.